Armigeres subalbatus is the source of this 374-nucleotide long non-coding RNA. RefSeq lists it as uncharacterized. Lineage: Eukaryota; Metazoa; Arthropoda; Insecta; Diptera; Culicidae. The transcript has 3 exons. The record is from RefSeq and is a predicted model, not a curated record.
GGGGUGCACUGAAUACCGCGAUUCGACAUCAUUUUCCGGUCUUAUUUCCCUAGCUGUUCGUGAAUCCGCGGAGAUGGGAACCAAACUCUUACGCCGAGAAUCGCGAGUUUGCCAGGAUUUCAUGGAAAUCGGUCCGGACCUUUUAUGAAUGGUUUGGGACAUCGUGUGUCCGCGUAUGUAGCUCGACGGGAUGUAUGGAUUCGCCAGUUCGCUUGUCUCGAACUGGUCCCGCGAGACUACCAAUAGAGCGUACUUCCUGACUUCGGAGGAGUUGCACGUCUUCAUCUGCAUAACGGACUGGCCGUUCUUAAAUACCCUCAGAUUCUCUGGAAGACCCGAGCAGAAUAUAAUUCAUUAUUGUAUCUCGCUGAAUA